RNAcentral lists this ribosomal RNA (490 nucleotides) under uncultured bacterium. RNAcentral describes it as "partial 16S ribosomal RNA". It matches the Rfam family "Bacterial small subunit ribosomal RNA", at positions 29 to 507 of the family's 1533-position model. The record is from RNAcentral.
AGUGAACGCUGGCGGCAGGCCUAACACAUGCAAGUCGAACGGCAGCACAAGAGAGCUUGCUCUCUGGGUGGCGAGUGGCGGACGGGUGAGGAAUGCAUCGGAAUCUGCCCAUUUGUGGGGGAUAACCUCGGGAAAUCGGGACUAAUACCGCAUACGACCUACGGGUGAAAGCAGGGGAUCUUCGGACCUUGCGCAGAUGGAUGAGCCGAUGCCGGAUUAGCUAGUUGGAGGGGUAAAGGCCCACCAAGGCGACGAUCCGUAGCUGGUCUGAGAGGAUGAUCAGCCACACUGGGACUGAGACGCGGCCCAGACUCCUACGGGAGGCAGCAGUGGGGAAUAUUGGACAAUGGGCGCAAGCCUGAUCCAGCCAUGCCGCGUGUGUGAAGAAGGCCUUCGGGUUGUAAAGCACUUUUGUUGGGAAAGAAAAGCAGCCGGUUAAUACCCGGUUGUCAUGACGGUACCCAAAGAAUAAGCACCGGCUAACUUCGUG